RNAcentral lists this ribosomal RNA (492 nucleotides) under uncultured bacterium. RNAcentral describes it as "partial 16S ribosomal RNA". It matches the Rfam family "Bacterial small subunit ribosomal RNA", at positions 29 to 507 of the family's 1533-position model. The record is from RNAcentral.
AGUGAACGCUGGCGGUAGGCCUAACACAUGCAAGUCGAACGGCAGCACAGUAAGAGCUUGCUCUUACGGGUGGCGAGUGGCGGACGGGUGAGGAAUACAUCGGACUCUACUUUUUCGUGGGGGAUAACGUAGGGAAACUUACGAUAAUACCGCAUACGACCUACGGGUGAAAGCAGGGGAUCUUCGGACCUUGCGCGAUUGAAUGAGCCGAUGUCGGAUUAGCUUGUUGGCGGGGUAAAGGCCCACCAAGGCGACGAUCCGUAGCUGGUCUGAGAGGAUGAUCAGCCACACUGGAACUGAGACACGGUCCAGACUCCUACGGGAGGCAGCAGUGGGGAAUAUUGGACAAUGGGCGCAAGCCUGAUCCAGCCAUACCGCGUGGGUGAAGAAGGCCUUCGGGUUGUAAAGCCCUUUUGUUGGGAAGGAAAAGCAUCAGGUUAAUACCCCGCUGUUCUGACGGUACCCAAAGAAUAAGCACCGGCUAACUUCGUG